Long non-coding RNA from Atta colombica, 579 nucleotides. RefSeq lists it as uncharacterized. The transcript is spliced from 2 exons. The record is from RefSeq and is a predicted model, not a curated record. Lineage: Eukaryota; Metazoa; Arthropoda; Insecta; Hymenoptera; Formicidae.
GUAUCAGAUAAUGAGAUAUCGGCGAUUAUCGGUCACAUAAUUAAAGAACAGUUUCUGUGAAGAGGAAGCGAAGGGUAGGGAGUAAUACAUAAAAAUCGAUUGCGCAGUCAUGAGCAUUCGUUUCUGGAAUAUCGUUGGUGCCUGGUGAUAGAUUUUGUACUGAGAAGUCAGGUAACCAAAGUUGAUCCACCAAGGAUGAAAUCAAUUAUUGUCUUGCUGAUGAUCAUUGCCGUCGUAUUCUCAAUGACGGUCGUGGCGCAGGAUGAAAAUGUUACACCGUCAGAGCUUUGUUUUAAAGGAUUUUGUCCUCUCGACAAACCUUGCUUGAUAAGAAAUUGUACCGAAGGCAGUUGUUCAUGGUUAUGUGAGCCAGAAUCUUAAAAAUUCUAAAUUCACGAGCCGGAAGGAAGUACUAUAUCGUAUUUUCAAUCCUAUAUGCUGUAUUCUUAUGUUUUUUGUAAUUAAUAAAAAAUGUAGACAAUCGUUGAUAGAUAAUCACUGUGUGCUUAAGCGAUCUUUAGAUGAUCAAUAAUGUUGUACAAUAUUAAACACAAAAUAAUACAUACUCUACGCAAAUAA